GAUGAACGCUAGCGGCAGGCUUAACACAUGCAAGUCGAGGGGCAUCGAGAGUAGCAAUACUUGUCGGCGACCGGCGCAAGGGUGCGUAACACGUGAGCAACAUACCCGUUUCAGGAGGAUAACCGGAGGAAACUCUGCCUAAUACUCCAUGACAUCAUCAAACGGCAUCGUUUGAUGAUUAAAGAUUUAUCGGAAACGGCUUGGCUCGCGGGACAUUAGCUCGUUGGUGAGGUAACGGCUCACCAAGGCGACGAUGUCUAGGGGUUCUGAGAGGAAGGUCCCCCACACUGGAACUGAGACACGGUCCAGACUCCUACGGGAGGCAGCAGUGAGGAAUAUUGGACAAUGGUCGGAAGACUGAUCCAGCCAUGCCGCGUGAAGGUUACUGUCCUAUGGAUAUUAAACUUCUUUUGUAUGAGAGCAAUAAGGUGCACGUGUGCACCGAUGAGAGUAUCAUACGAAUAAGCAUCGGCUAACUCCG
RNAcentral lists this ribosomal RNA (481 nucleotides) under uncultured bacterium. Its description in RNAcentral is "bacterial SSU rRNA". It matches the Rfam family "Bacterial small subunit ribosomal RNA", at positions 28 to 505 of the family's 1533-position model. The record is from RNAcentral.